This is a long non-coding RNA of Macrobrachium nipponense, 478 nucleotides long. RefSeq lists it as uncharacterized. NCBI's taxonomy places the organism in Eukaryota, Metazoa, Arthropoda, Malacostraca, Decapoda, Palaemonidae. The record is from RefSeq and is a predicted model, not a curated record. The transcript has 3 exons.
GGCUACCUUUACCUCUGAGGUGAGAGAAUAAUCGACGGUCUGUUCAUAUGUCGGCGCUGGCGACGUGAAGUGAUUCAGGGUUAGUGUCUGCGAUUAUUCAGUUUUGUUGAGGAGUCUUGAGUUCGAUGAGAUAGUGAUGACAGCGACACUGAAGACUACUGACGGACAGGGUAUAGUGGAUAUGGAACAUAUUCUACUUCAAGCCCCACACCGUCCGUCAGAAGAAGCCCAAGAUGUUGGGACUACCAGUGAUUUGUACACCAGAAUGUAGUAGCAGAGCAGUCUGUCGCAAGAGGUAUCUGACGGCGUCACCUCGUUACGACGUCAGCAAGAACUAUUCUAUAAAGUUAUCUGAAUAUUCAACAAGGAAUCGACCAAGAUCUACUUUACGUGUUUCUUAAACUUUAAGACUGAUUAAAGUAAGAAUUUUGUAAAUAAAAUCUUGUUCAAACGAAUUAAUACAGUACACUAACAAUUG